GGGGUUGUAGCUCAUUGGUAGAGCACUUGCCUAGCACGUGUGAGGCCCUGGGUUCGAUCCUCAGCACCA
RNAcentral lists this transfer RNA (69 nucleotides) under Ictidomys tridecemlineatus (thirteen-lined ground squirrel). RNAcentral's name for it is "Spermophilus tridecemlineatus (thirteen-lined ground squirrel) tRNA". It matches the Rfam family "tRNA". Rfam says of the family: Transfer RNA (tRNA) molecules are approximately 80 nucleotides in length. Their secondary structure includes four short double-helical elements and three loops (D, anti-codon, and T loops). Lineage: Eukaryota; Metazoa; Chordata; Mammalia; Rodentia; Sciuridae. The record is from Rfam by way of RNAcentral.